Molecule: long non-coding RNA, 2598 nt
Filed under: Citrus x clementina
Lineage: Eukaryota; Viridiplantae; Streptophyta; Magnoliopsida; Sapindales; Rutaceae
Description: Citrus clementina (C. clementina) long non-coding RNA (CCLE_LNC000133)
Source: RNAcentral
AAAUUCUUGGGAAGAAACUCUUCUCCUGCCAAUGCACACGGUGCAUUCGAAAACUUAUCAUGUAUAUGAAAAAAGAGACAGACAGUUUAUCAUCUAAUUAGUUUAUGGCUCUCAAUAAAUAUGGCUUUUGAGACUACAAUAAUAAUCUUCUAGUUGUGAGUAAUAGAUAUAGACCGAUGGAAUUAGAUGUCAGAGUAUCAUUAUUUCAGAUGUUGUAUUGUUUCAAAUGUUGUAACAUAUAUAUAUAUAUAUAUUCACUAGAACACAUCCGUUCUAGAUCAAUGAGUUUUCAAUUUUCAACAUUUCAAGUAUUUAUGGUUCUUCAAAAAUGGAUAACACCACCCAACACACGUGUGUAUAUUAUAUGUAUAUAAUUCUAGAAGUUUCAUCACUAGAACACAAAUAAUUGGGGCUCUUUGAAUCUUCAAACAUGCCAUAUCCAUCGAUUACACGUGAUUGUUGAGUCAAAAACUCUAAAAGUUUCAUUCCAAAAUCUCUAAAGACGCAUAAAGUGUAACAAUUUUGGAAGGUUAUUUAAUUUUUAAAGGGGAUUCUUGAGGACCCAUAUCAAAUAAAUUGUCAAUCAUUAUUUGCUUUAGGCCUAAGGUGUAAAUGAUGGUCAAUAUUCCUUGUUUUAUCUUCUAAACAGAUAAGUAUGCCACCAUUAACUGUUAAUUUUAAUUUAGUAUUCAUAAUUAAUUAGAGUAGUUCAUUCUGGUGCCUAAUGCUUUGUUGGAUUAAUAUGAUCCACGCGUUGGUAAUUUUGUUGAUAAAUUAUGUCAAUGCCCUUGACAUGGGCCCAGCAAAUUCAAGCUGUGGAUUUAUUCAAUAAGAUGGAUAUACCGUACUUGUAACAUCAGAACCCGAAUGAGAAGUAAAGCAGUACACAGUUUCUGACUAUUGACAGAUUCGACAAACGAGACAAAUUAAAAAGUCCAACUAGGCUAACACUUAACAUCAUGAUUUCAAGAUCUAGACGCAAGGCGAAGCAGCAAUUUCAACAGUCUCUAGUAGUUUCGAUGUCCAAAUGAAGGGUACCCGAACUUGAUUGUUAUGAGACUGUAAACAAUUUCAAUAGUCAUUUUCAAAUUGAAAUGUUUGUUUGUAAACUACAACAUAUUAUUUUAUAGUUUCUAUGAUAGUUUCAGGAUUUCAAAAUUUUAGUCAUAAGAUUCACACAUAAUGAUACAAUCAUUGCACAGUUGGUUGCUCAUGCUACGCCCAAGAGACAGCCUAAAAUGCCCUUCAAACUUCAAGAUUUUGUUCGUGACUGAUGGUGCAACUAAUUACAACACUUAGAUAUUCUAAAGAUAUUGUGUUGAAUUUGUUAUUUACUUAUUAUUAUAAUUUUGUUUUGCUGUGUUGUCAAGUUUGUUAGAGAGGAUAUUUUUAGCCGUUUCUAGAAUUGUCUGUAACUCUCUUGAAAGAGUAUUUAAAUAAAUGAAUGAAUAAGAAAAGCACAGCUCCCUUAAAUUCAAAAUACAAUUCAUUUGUUCUCUAUAGUCUCUAUUCUUCACUCUUUCUAAUUUUGGGGGACUCCACUCUCUAAAGUGGAAACUAAAAUUUAGAACUUGCUGCUGUUGCUAUUCUUAGUCAUCACAUAACGUUUUAAAAUUUAAGUUAACAUUUGAGAAGACAAUGUAAUUCAAAUUUUGAAGGAGAUGCUCUUUUUGUAAGGGAGCUAAGUUUGUAUAAAGGAGGAGAAAUAAUUUGAACAUCAAAGAUUUGUUCUUUAGAUGCUGACGAAUCUUUUAUAAACUUAAAAGCGUGAUUAAAAAGCUUUUUAAAUGAGACCCUACUAUUUAUUUGAAGAACUAUCUCAACAAAAAGAGUUUUAAAAAAUUCUUCAAAUAAGAUUGUACUCCUUUAUCUCAUUUUAAUAAUCUUAUUUGGAGAGUCUCUUAGAGCCUUUAAUUUAGUAUUAUGUUUUUUUUUCCCAUUAUCCUUAAAGAGUGAGAAGUGUUAUAAUUAUUAUUAUUUUGGUAUAGUCAAAAGUCUGAUUAAAAUAAUAUAAAUUUAUUUUUAUUUAAAAAGUCUUCUAGGAAAUAAUAUAAAUUUAUUUAAUAAUCUUAUUUAAAAUAAUAUAAAUAUUGAAGAGCUAAAUUAAAAGAGUCUUUUGGUGCUCUUAAGUAUGCACCAAUAAUACUAACCGAUGUCACCUCUAUUUUCUUUUUUUUUAAUAAGUCUUCAUUGUGUUGAUCAACAAAGUUGUAUUAACCCUUUAAUUAUUAGGAAAAUUAUCAAUUAUUCAUCUUAAAUUUAAUCUGUUAUAAAAAAAUAUUAUUAAAGUUUGAAUUUAUUCAAUUUUCAAUUGUAUAAACCAUCCACAAAAAAGACUUAAUUACCCUUACAAAAUGACAAAAUAAAAAUAAGCACAAAUUAUAACAGUAGUUAUUUUGUAAGGGUAAUUACGAUAAUAAUUAUUAUUAUCAAACUUGUCCCCUCUCCAAAUUAAGCAUAUUCCUUUAGGGUGCAUUUGGCACACUGUAUUGUAUUAUAUUGUAUUGCAUUAUUUUAAUGUUGGUGUAUUGUAUUAUGUUGUAUUACAUUAGCAUUGUAUUAUAACAAUGUUGUACAAUGUUUGGUACCACAGUGUAC